CUAGCCCCUGACCCGGAUCAGCGAGUCCAGCGCCGGACCGUCCAGGCACGUGAAGUUCUGCAGCAGCGCCCACUUGUCGCGCUGGAACCUCGCGCUGGAAUCGCGCGCCGCGGGGCUCUCGAGCACCCAGAACACGCCGGUGCCCAGCGCCAGGUGAGGGACCCCAGUUGAUCCCCACUUGUCUAUGAACUUGGGAGGCAAGAGGAUCCUUCACUAGUGGGCUUGUCCGUUCCCUGAUUCUGAAGAGGCCCCCUUACUCCCUUCCUGGAGGAAUGUAAGAAGCUCCUUGAGGGCUGAGCCUGGAUCUGAUCCAAGUCUGUACCCUCCCUACCGACCCCCAACUCCUUCUGCUACAGUUAUCCCCUGAGGUCAAGGAAGAACUGCUCUCUUCGAAUGUGGACUUUGGUCUCCCUCCCUUUCCCACACACCCCGAGAGGCCAGGAAGGAACAUUCUGGAACACGCUAGCUCCCUGGAGACCCUCCCCCUUGGGAGCAGCAUUUGCCCUGGGCCCAGCUGUCUCCCACGGCCAACCUGAAGAUCUCCAUCCUACUGAGGAAGAGGCCUUGAUUUGGUGAGGGUACUGAGGGUGGGGCCCCCAGUGCAACCUUCCAUUUUUCUCUAAGAAUCCACAUGUAGUUGGGAAAGUCAGACAUGAGUCCUGUGAC
Mustela lutreola (European mink) is the source of this 666-nucleotide long non-coding RNA. RefSeq lists it as uncharacterized. The record is from RefSeq and is a predicted model, not a curated record. Lineage: Eukaryota; Metazoa; Chordata; Mammalia; Carnivora; Mustelidae. The transcript is spliced from 4 exons.